AAAAACAUCGCCUUCUGAACAAUUAUAGAAGGUCCAGCCUGCCCAGUGACCAAGUUAAACGGCCGCGGUACCCUAACCGUGCGAAGGUAGCGCAAUCACUUGUUCUUUAAAUGAGGACUAGUAUGAACGGCAUCACGAGGAUUACACUGUCUCCCUCCCCCAAUCAAUGAAACUGACCUCCCCGUGAAGAAGCGGGGAUAAACAUAUAAGACGAGAAGACCCUAUGGAGCUUUAAACACACCACUACUUAUCUAAAUCUACUCCAUCCAAGACAGAUAAAACUAAUGUGCGUUUUCAGUUGGGGUGACUGCGGAGCAUAAUAAAACCUCCACGAUGAAAACUAAUCCAAGAACAACAGUUCAAAGAAUCAAUAAAUUGACAUCAAUUGACCCAAAUAAAAUUAUUUGAUCAACGAACCAAGUUACCCUAGGGAUAACAGCGCAAUCCAUUUCAAGAGCUCAUAUCGACAAAUGGGUUUACGACCUCGAUGUUGGAUCAGGGUAUCCCAGUGGUGCAGCCGCUACUAAAGGUUCGUUUGUUCAACGAUCAAAACCCUACGUGAUCUGAGUUCAG
This 573-nucleotide ribosomal RNA is filed under the name Chiasmocleis leucosticta (Santa Catarina humming frog). RNAcentral describes it as "partial 16S ribosomal RNA". It matches the Rfam family "Bacterial large subunit ribosomal RNA", at positions 1809 to 2614 of the family's 2925-position model. The record is from RNAcentral. Lineage: Eukaryota; Metazoa; Chordata; Amphibia; Anura; Microhylidae.